CCUCUGUAAAGUAAAAAUAUAGUAUUCGUCACAAUUAUUCGUCACAAAUUUGUUAUAAUUUGGUUCGUCCUAUUACAAAACUGCUAUAUGUUUGAAAAACUCUAUACUAACCAGGAUGUCCCACAGCAGCAGCUACAUUUCGCCAAGCCAAAUCUUUCUUCACCCGAUCGCGGUAACUAAGCUGUCGUUUGUCCCACAAGCAGUUGUGUUUUUCAAUCUCUGCUAUAAGUUUUUCUUCGAACAUCUUGCACUAAAGCUUCCGAUAUACCAACCAACACACAAGAAUCGGAUAAUACAGCAGCCGGAACGAUAAAAAAUUGAAUAUUACGCCUUAUAAACACGGGUGGAAGUGGCACAGGCAAAUGAAACUUUAUGAAAACCAACGAAUCUGGUGGCUGGAACGAUAAAAAGCAAGUUGAAUAUUACGCCUUAUAAACACGGGUGGAAGUGGCACAGGCAAAUGAAACUUUAUGAAAACCAACGAAUCUGGUGGCCGGAACGAUAAAAAGCAAGAACGCGAUAAAAACUGCACACAAGCAAAAUCGACGCGAAAAAU
Molecule: long non-coding RNA, 556 nt
Filed under: Rhagoletis pomonella (apple maggot)
Lineage: Eukaryota; Metazoa; Arthropoda; Insecta; Diptera; Tephritidae
Description: uncharacterized LOC118755663, transcript variant X2
Source: RNAcentral